UGGGGAAUAUUGCACAAUGGGCGAAAGCCUGAUGCAGCAACGCCGCGUGAAGGAAGAAGGCCUUCGGGUCGUAAACUUCUGUCCUUGGGGAAGAAGAACUGACGGUACCCAAGGAGGAAGCCCCGGCUAACUACGUGCCAGCAGCCGCGGUAAUACGUAGGGGGCAAGCGUUAUCCGGAAUUAUUGGGCGUAAAGAGUACGUAGGUGGCAACCUAAGCGCAGGGUUUAAGGCAAAUGGCUUAACCAUUGUUCGCCCUGCGAACUGGGAUGCUUGAGUGCAGGAGAGGAAAGCGGAAUUCCUAGUGUAGCGGUGAAAUGCGUAGAUAUUAGGAGGAACACCAGUGGCGAAGGCGGCUUUCUGGACUGUAACUGACACUGAGGUACGAAAGCGUGGGGAGCAAACAGGAUUAGAUACCC
Molecule: ribosomal RNA, 417 nt
Filed under: uncultured bacterium
Lineage: Bacteria
Description: bacterial SSU rRNA
Rfam family: Bacterial small subunit ribosomal RNA
Source: RNAcentral